Termitomyces sp. Mi166#008 is the source of this 83-nucleotide non-coding RNA. Lineage: Eukaryota; Fungi; Basidiomycota; Agaricomycetes; Agaricales; Lyophyllaceae. The record is from the annotation of a GenBank genome assembly.
ACACUGAUGGUGAAGUGGUUAUCAUGCUUGCCUUCCAUUCUUUGUGGUAGCAAGCGGCAGGGGUUCGAUUCCCCUUCAGUGUA